UGAACGCUGGCGGCAGGCUUAACACAUGCAAGUCGAGCGGAUGAAGGUAGCUUGCUACUGGAUUCAGCGGCGGACGGGUGAGUAAUGCUUAGGAAUCUGCCUAUUAGUGGGGGACAACGUUCCGAAAGGNGCGCUAAUACCGCAUACGUCCUACGGGAGAAAGCAGGGGACCUUNGGGCCUUGCGCUAAUAGAUGAGCCUAAGUCGGAUUAGCUAGUUGGUAGGGUAAAGGCCUACCAAGGCGACGAUCUGUAGCGGGUCUGAGAGGAUGAUCCGCCACACUGGGACUGAGACACGGCCCAGACUCCUACGGGAGGCAGCAGUGGGGAAUAUUGGACAAUGGGGGGAACCCUGAUCCAGCCAUGCCGCGUGUGUGAAGAAGGCCUUUUGGUUGUAAAGCACUUUAAGCGAGGAGGAGGCUACCUAGAUUAAUACUUUAGGAUAGUGGACGUUACUCGCAGAAUAAGCACCGGCUAACUCUGUGCCAGCAGCCGCGGUAAUACAGAGGGUGCGAGCGUUAAUCGGAUUUACUGGGCGUAAAGCGUGCGUAGGCGGCCAAUUAAGUCAAAUGUGAAAUCCCCGAGCUUAACUUGGGAAUUGCAUUCGAUACUGGUUGGCUAGAGUAUGGGAGAGGAUGGUAGAAUUCCAGGUGUAGCGGUGAAAUGCGUAGAGAUCUGGAGGAAUACCGAUGGCGAAGGCAGCCAUCUGGCCUAAUACUGACGCUGAGGUACGAAAGCAUGGGGAGCAAACAGGAUUAGAUACCCUGGUAGUCCAUGCCGUAAACGAUGUCUACUAGCCGUUGGGGCCCUUGAGGCUUUAGUGGCGCAGCUAACGCGAUAAGUAGACCGCCUGGGGAGUACGGUCGCAAGACUAAAACUCAAAUGAAUUGACGGGGGCCCGCACAAGCGGUGGAGCAUGUGGUUUAAUUCGAUGCAACGCGAAGAACCUUACCUGGCCUUGACAUACAGAGAACUUUCCAGAGAUGGAUUGGUGC
Molecule: ribosomal RNA, 993 nt
Filed under: Acinetobacter radioresistens
Lineage: Bacteria; Pseudomonadati; Pseudomonadota; Gammaproteobacteria; Moraxellales; Moraxellaceae
Description: bacterial SSU rRNA
Rfam family: Bacterial small subunit ribosomal RNA
Source: RNAcentral